CCUACGGGAGGCAGCAGUGAGGAAUAUUGGUCAAUGGCCGGAAGGCUGAACCAGCCAAGCCGCGUGAAGGACGAAGGUGCCAAGCAUUGUAAACUUCUUUUGUCAAGGGACAAAAUCAGGCUCGAGAGCCUGACCGUGGGUACUUUAUGAAUAAGCAUCGGCUAACUCCGUGCCAGCAGCCGCGGUAAUACGGAGGAUGCGAGCGUUAUCCGGAUUUAUUGGGUUUAAAGGGUGCGUAGGGGGGCUGUUAAGUCAGCGGUAAAAGCCCGGGGCUAAACCCCGGCGUGCCGUUGAAACUGGCUGUCUUGAGAUGUCGAGAGGUAGGCGGAAUGCGCAGUGUAGCGGUGAAAUGCUUAGAUAUUGCGCAGAACUCCGAUUGCGAAGGCAGCAUACCGGCGGCGAUCUGAUGCUGAGGCACGAAAGCGUGGGUAUCGAACAGGAUUAGAUACCCUAGUAGUC
This 459-nucleotide ribosomal RNA is filed under the name uncultured bacterium. RNAcentral describes it as "partial 16S ribosomal RNA". It matches the Rfam family "Bacterial small subunit ribosomal RNA", at positions 338 to 795 of the family's 1533-position model. The record is from RNAcentral.